UGAAAUCUGGCCGUCCUGCGGUCCGAGUUGUAAUUUGUAGAGGAUGCUUCGGGUGCGGCGCCAGUCUAAGUUCCUUGGAACAGGACGUCAUAGAGGGUGAGAAUCCCGUACGGGACCGGCGACCCAGCCCGUGUGAAGCUCCUUCGACGAGUCGAGUUGUUUGGGAAUGCAGCUCUAAAUGGGUGGUAAAUUUCAUCUAAAGCUAAAUACCGGCCAGAGACCGAUAGCGCACAAGUAGAGUGAUCGAAAGAUGAAAAGCACUUUGGAAAGAGAGUUAAAAAGUACGUGAAAUUGUUGAAAGGGAAGCGCUUGCAACCAGACUUGCUUGCGGGUGAUCAGCCGUCCUUCUGGGCGGUGCACUCGCCCGCGAUCAGGCCAGCAUCGGUUCGGGCGGCUGGAUAAAGGCCCCGGGAAUGUGGCUCCCUCCGGGGAGUGUUAUAGCCCGGGGUGCAAUGCGGCCAGUCCGGACCGAGGACCGCGCUUCGGCUAGGAUGCUGGCGUAAUGGUUGUAAGCGACCCGUCUUGAAACACGGACCAAGGAGUCUAACAUCUAUGCGAGUGUUUGGGUGUCAAACCCAUGCGCGCAAUGAAAGUGAACGGAGGUGGGAACCCUCAAGGGUGCACCAUCGACCGAUCCUGAUGUCUUCGGAUGGAUUUGAGUAAGAGCAUAGCUGUUGGGACCCGAAAGAUGGUGAACUAUGCCUGAAUAGGGUGAAGCCAGAGGAAACUCUGGUGGAGGCUCGCAGCGGUUCUGACGUGCAAAUCGAUCGUCAAAUUUGGGUAUAGGGGCGAAAGACUAAUCGAACCAUCU
Molecule: ribosomal RNA, 811 nt
Filed under: Umbilicaria phaea
Lineage: Eukaryota; Fungi; Ascomycota; Lecanoromycetes; Umbilicariales; Umbilicariaceae
Description: LSU rRNA
Rfam family: Eukaryotic large subunit ribosomal RNA
Source: RNAcentral